AUCUGGAAGAAUCUGGAGACAGGUGCUGCAUGGCUGUCGUCAGCUCGUGUCGUGAGAUGUUGGGUUAAGUCCCGCAACGAGCGCAACCCUUGCCUUUAGUUGCCAGCAGUUCGGCUGGGCACUCUAAAGGGACUGCCGGUGUUAAACCGGAGGAAGGUGGGGAUGACGUCAAGUCCUCAUGGCCUUUAUGACCAGGGCUACACACGUACUACAAUGGCCGAUACAAAGGGCAGCGACACUGCGAGGUGAAGCCAAUCCCGUAAAAUCGGUCUCAGUCCGGAUUGGAGUCUGCAACUCGACUCCAUGAAGUUGGAAUCGCUAGUAAUCGUGAAUCAGAAUGUCACGGUGAAUACGUUCCCGGGCCUU
This 366-nucleotide ribosomal RNA is filed under the name uncultured Desulfobulbus sp. RNAcentral describes it as "bacterial SSU rRNA". It matches the Rfam family "Bacterial small subunit ribosomal RNA", at positions 1014 to 1382 of the family's 1533-position model. The record is from RNAcentral. Lineage: Bacteria; Pseudomonadati; Thermodesulfobacteriota; Desulfobulbia; Desulfobulbales; Desulfobulbaceae.